CUACGGGCGGCUGCAGUAGGGAAUCUUCGGCAAUGGACGGAAGUCUGACCGAGCAACGCCGCGUGAGUGAAGAAGGUUUUCGGAUCGUAAAGCUCUGUUGUAAGAGAAGAACGAGUGUGAGAGUGGAAAGUUCACACUGUGACGGUAUCUUACCAGAAAGGGACGGCUAACUACGUGCCAGCAGCCGCGGUAAUACGUAGGUCCCGAGCGUUGUCCUGAUUUAUUGGGCGUAAAGCGAGCGCAGGCGGUUAGAUAAGUCUGAAGUUAAAGGCUGUGGCUUAACCAUAGUACGCUUUGGAAACUGUUUAACUUGAGUGCAGAAGGGGAGAGUGGAAUUCCAUGUGUAGCGGUGAAAUGCGUAGAUAUAUGGAGGAACACCGGUGGCGAAAGCGGCUCUCUGGUCUGUAACUGACGCUGAGGCUCGAAAGCGUGGGGAACAAACAGGAUUAGAUACCCCGGUAGUC
This 464-nucleotide ribosomal RNA is filed under the name uncultured bacterium. RNAcentral's name for it is "partial 16S ribosomal RNA". It matches the Rfam family "Bacterial small subunit ribosomal RNA", at positions 339 to 795 of the family's 1533-position model. The record is from RNAcentral.